RNAcentral lists this small nuclear RNA (87 nucleotides) under Nothobranchius furzeri (turquoise killifish). RNAcentral describes it as "U5 spliceosomal RNA (ENSNFUG00015016191.1)". It matches the Rfam family "U5 spliceosomal RNA", at positions 1 to 90 of the family's 117-position model. From Rfam's summary of the family: U5 RNA is a component of both types of known spliceosome. The precise function of this molecule is unknown, though it is known that the 5' loop is required for splice site selection and p220 binding, and that both the 3' stem-loop and the Sm site are important for Sm protein binding and cap methylation. The record is from Rfam by way of RNAcentral. Lineage: Eukaryota; Metazoa; Chordata; Actinopteri; Cyprinodontiformes; Nothobranchiidae.
UUACUCUGGUUUCUCUUCAGUCUGCAUAAGUCUUUCGCCUUUUACUAAAGACUUCCGUGGAAAGUGACAUUGAGCACCAAACCAAAC